GCCUAAUACAUGCAAGUCGAGCGGACAGAUGGGAGCUUGCUCCCUGAUGUUAGCGGCGGACGGGUGAGUAACACGUGGGUAACCUGCCUGUAAGACUGGGAUAACUCCGGGAAACCGGGGCUAAUACCGGAUGGUUGUUUGAACCGCAUGGUUCAAACAUAAAAGGUGGCUUCGGCUACCACUUACAGAUGGACCCGCGGCGCAUUAGCUAGUUGGUGAGGUAACGGCUCACCAAGGCAACGAUGCGUAGCCGACCUGAGAGGGUGAUCGGCCACACUGGGACUGAGACACGGCCCAGACUCCUACGGGAGGCAGCAGUAGGGAAUCUUCCGCAAUGGACGAAAGUCUGACGGAGCAACGCCGCGUGAGUGAUGAAGGUUUUCGGAUCGUAAAGCUCUGUUGUUAGGGAAGAACAAGUACCGUUCGAAUAGGGCGGUACCUUGACGGUACCUAACCAGAAAGCCACGGCUAACUACGUGCCAGCAGCCGCGGUAAUACGUAGGUGGCAAGCGUUGUCCGGAAUUAUUGGGCGUAAAGGGCUCGCAGGCGGUUUCUUAAGUCUGAUGUGAAAGCCCCCGGCUCAACCGGGGAGGGUCAUUGGAAACUGGGGAACUUGAGUGCAGAAGAGGAGAGUGGAAUUCCACGUGUAGCGGUGAAAUGCGUAGAGAUGUGGAGGAACACCAGUGGCGAAGGCGACUCUCUGGUCUGUAACUGACGCUGAGGAGCGAAAGCGUGGGGAGCGAACAGGAUUAGAUACCCUGGUAGUCCACGCCGUAAACGAUGAGUGCUAAGUGUUAGGGGGUUUCCGCCCCUUAGUGCUGCAGCUAACGCAUUAAGCACUCCGCCUGGGGAGUACGGUCGCAAGACUGAAACUCAAAGGAAUUGACGGGGGCCCGCACAAGCGGUG
RNAcentral lists this ribosomal RNA (907 nucleotides) under Escherichia coli. RNAcentral describes it as "bacterial SSU rRNA". It matches the Rfam family "Bacterial small subunit ribosomal RNA", at positions 46 to 934 of the family's 1533-position model. Lineage: Bacteria; Pseudomonadati; Pseudomonadota; Gammaproteobacteria; Enterobacterales; Enterobacteriaceae. The record is from RNAcentral.